AUACGUAGGUGACAAGCGUUAUCCGGAUUUACUGGGCGUAAAGGGCGUGUAGGCGGUCUUGCAAGUCAGAAGUGAAAUUCCUGAGCUCAACUCGGGCGCUGCUUCUGAAACUGCAGGACUUGAGUGCUGGAGGGGAUAGCGGAAUUCCUAGUGGAGCGGUAAAAUGCGCAGAUAUUAGGAAGAACACCGGUGGCGAAGGCGGCUAUCUGGACAGUAACUGACGCUGAGGCGCGAAAGUGUGGGGAGCAAACAGGAUUAGAUACCCUGGUAGUCCACACUGUAAACGAUGAAUGCUAGGUGUAAGAGGUAUCGACCCCUUUUGUGCCGGAGCUAACACAAUAAGCAUUCCGCCUGGGGAGUACGGCCGCAAGGUUGAAACUCAAAUGAAUUGACGGGG
This 397-nucleotide ribosomal RNA is filed under the name uncultured bacterium. RNAcentral's name for it is "partial 16S ribosomal RNA". It matches the Rfam family "Bacterial small subunit ribosomal RNA", at positions 523 to 918 of the family's 1533-position model. The record is from RNAcentral.